Limulus polyphemus (Atlantic horseshoe crab) is the source of this 68-nucleotide non-coding RNA. NCBI's taxonomy places the organism in Eukaryota, Metazoa, Arthropoda, Merostomata, Xiphosura, Limulidae. The record is from the annotation of a RefSeq genome assembly.
GCAGUCGUGGCCGAGUGGUUAAGGCGAUGGACUUGAAAUCCGUGUAGGUUCGAAUCCUACCGACUGCG